UACGUAGGGUGCGAGCGUUACUCGGAAUUACUGGGCGUAAAGCGUGCGCAGGCGGUUUUGUAAGUCAGGUGUGAAAUCCCCGGGCUUAACCUGGGAAUUGCAUUUGGGACUGCAAGGCUGGAGUUUGGCAGAGGAGACUGGAAUUCCCGGUGUAGCAGUGAAAUGCGUAGAUAUCGGGAGGAAUACCGAUGGCGAAGGCAGGUCUCUGGGCUAUAACUGACGCUCAUGCACGAAAGCGUGGGGAGCAAACGGG
This 253-nucleotide ribosomal RNA is filed under the name uncultured bacterium. Its description in RNAcentral is "partial 16S ribosomal RNA". It matches the Rfam family "Bacterial small subunit ribosomal RNA", at positions 524 to 776 of the family's 1533-position model. The record is from RNAcentral.